RNAcentral lists this unclassified non-coding RNA (288 nucleotides) under fungal sp. RNAcentral's name for it is "partial internal transcribed spacer region". The stretch from base 1 to 46 matches the Rfam family "Eukaryotic small subunit ribosomal RNA", at positions 1786 to 1831 of the family's 1831-position model. Lineage: Eukaryota; Fungi. The record is from RNAcentral.
AAGUCGUAACAAGGUUUCCGUAGGUGAACCUGCGGAAGGAUCAUUACAGAGAGGGUUUUUGGUGGGUGUGGGGGGGGCUUGGUUGGUGGGUGGGUAGAGCGCUUUGCUCAGAAGAGCACUGCUCUCUACUCUGCCUGCCUGACCGAGCAUCCCACCCUACCGACCACAUCAGCACGGAGGCCGCUUGUCUAUACAGGCAGGCGGUCCCAUGUUUACGCUUGCUUGUUUGACAGAGUCACAUACCAAGUUCAACUUUUACAACUUUUAACAAUGGAUCUCUUGGCUCUU